This 279-nucleotide unclassified non-coding RNA is filed under the name plant metagenome. RNAcentral's name for it is "partial contains small subunit ribosomal RNA, internal transcribed spacer 1, and 5.8S ribosomal RNA". The record is from RNAcentral.
UUUCCGUAGGUGAACCUGCGGAAGGAUCAUUAUCGUACAGCAUGUGAGGUGCAUGCGAGGUCUGUCGCUCUCCAACAGCUCGGGCACGCCCGACUGUGUCCUCUUGCAUACUAAUCCAUCUCACCCUUUGUGCAUCACCGCGUGGGCACCCUUCGGGAUCAUCUCGUCGGGUGGCUCACGAUUACACACAAACCCCCCGUUUCACAUUGCAGAAUGACCACUUUUAUGCAAUCCAUACAACUUUCAACAACGGCUCUCCUGCCGCUCGCAUCGAUCAAA